This 253-nucleotide ribosomal RNA is filed under the name uncultured bacterium. RNAcentral's name for it is "partial 16S ribosomal RNA". It matches the Rfam family "Bacterial small subunit ribosomal RNA", at positions 524 to 776 of the family's 1533-position model. The record is from RNAcentral.
UACGUAGGGACCAAGCGUUGUUCGGAUUUACUGGGCGUAAAGGGCGCGUAGGCGGCGUGGUAGGUCACUUGUGAAAUCUCCGAGCUUAACUCGGAACGGUCAAGUGAUACUGCUGUGCUAGAGUGCAGAAGGGGCAAUCGGAAUUCUUGGUGUAGCGGUGAAAUGCGCAGAUAUCAGGAGGAACACCGGUGGCGAAGGCGGGUCUCUGGGCAACAACUGACGCUGAGGAGCGAAAGCGUGGGGAGCGAACAGG